CCGCGCUGGAGGAGGCCAACCCCUCUCUUGGCCUGGUCUCAAACCCCCGACUCAGGGUGGUUGCGGAGGGAAGCGGCAGGAUGGGACGCAGUGCCAAAGGCGGGGAUGUGCGGGCUGUGGCGCGUCUAAAGGGACAGGCUGCAGAAAAGGGGACAAAGUGACAGAGGAGCAGCAGAUCGAUGCCGCAAGGAGGAGCCGGGAGCCACCAACCGGGCAGUUUAGUAAUCCCAUUCUUAACAAUGCUGGACUCUAAUUUCGAACGGACAAGGUAUCUGAAUGCUCAGAGGAGGAACGCGUGCUUUCUAACUGAAGUCCAGUCCACAUGGAGGUCCAGGGAGCAGGCCUGCUUCACGCUGGAGAGAUGCAGAAAAUCUGCCGGGAGAGCAAGGCUUUGGAGGAGGUGAGCCCUUGGUAGAUGACCAACUUGUGACCCAAAGGAGGUUUGGGGUUUUGCAGCAGUAACAUGAAUUACCAGCUUGUAAAAUGUGACUCAGGAAGAAACACAAAGACCUGUGAAUAUUUCUGCCUCCAAAAACCUACUGCUUUUCA
Molecule: non-coding RNA, 549 nt
Organism: Manis javanica (Malayan pangolin)
Lineage: Eukaryota; Metazoa; Chordata; Mammalia; Pholidota; Manidae
Source: RefSeq, a predicted model, not a curated record